UUCCACGGUUUCCGUGACGCAGCUAACGCAUUAAGUUCCCCGCCUGGGGAGUACGGCCGCAAGGCUAAAACUCAAAGGAAUUGACGGGGACCCGCACAAGCGGCGGAGCAUGCGGAUUAAUUCGAUGCAACGCGAAGAACCUUACCAAGGCUUGACAUACACGAGAACACUCUGGAAACAGAGGACUCUUUGGACACUCGUGAACAGGUGGUGCAUGGUUGUCGUCAGCUCGUGUCGUGAGAUGUUGGGUUAAGUCCCGCAACGAGCGCAACCCUCGUUCUAUGUUGCCAGCACGUAAUGGUGGGAACUCAUGGGAUACUGCCGGGGUCAACUCGGAGGAAGGUGGGGAUGACGUCAAAUCAUCAUGCCCCUUAUGUCUUGGGCUUCACGCAUGCUACAAUGGCCGGUACAAAGGGCUGCAAUACCGUAAGGUGGAGCGAAUCCCAAAAAGCCGGUCCCAGUUCGGAUUGAGGUCUGCAACUCGACCUCAUGAAGUCGGAGUCGCUAGUAAUCGCAGAUCAGCAACGCUGCGGUGAAUACGUUCCCGGGUCUUGUACACACCGCCCGUCAAGUCAUGAAAGUCGGUAACACCUGAAGCCGGUGGCCCAACCCUUGUGGAGGGAGCCGUCGAAGGUGGGAUCGGUAAUUAGGACUAAGUCGUAACAAGGUAGCCG
Molecule: ribosomal RNA, 674 nt
Filed under: uncultured bacterium
Lineage: Bacteria
Description: bacterial SSU rRNA
Rfam family: Bacterial small subunit ribosomal RNA
Source: RNAcentral